UUUUAUUUGAGAGUUUGAUCCUGGCUCAGGAUGAACGCUGGCGGCGUGCCUAACACAUGCAAGUUGAGCGAUUUACUUCGGUAAAGAGCGGCGGACGGGUGAGUAACGCGUGGGUAACCUACCCUGUACACACGGAUAACAUACCGAAAGGUAUGCUAAUACGGGAUAAUAUAUUUGAGAGGCAUCUCUUGAAUAUCAAAGGUGAGCCAGUACAGGAUGGACCCGCGUCUGAUUAGCUAGUUGGUAAGGUAACGGCUUACCAAGGCGACGAUCAGUAGCCGACCUGAGAGGGUGAUCGGCCACAUUGGAACUGAGACACGGUCCAAACUCCUACGGGAGGCAGCAGUGGGGAAUAUUGCACAAUGGGCGAAAGCCUGAUGCAGCAACGCCGCGUGAGUGAUGAAGGCCUUCGGGUCGUAAAACUCUGUCCUCAAGGAAGAUAAUGACGGUACUUGAGGAGGAAGCCCCGGCUAA
Molecule: ribosomal RNA, 474 nt
Filed under: Clostridioides difficile
Lineage: Bacteria; Bacillati; Bacillota; Clostridia; Peptostreptococcales; Peptostreptococcaceae
Description: bacterial SSU rRNA
Rfam family: Bacterial small subunit ribosomal RNA
Source: RNAcentral